AAGAAGUUCAAGGCUUAAAGAAAAUAGAUAAACAGUAGUGAUGUUAAUCAAAACACAAAUAAAAUUAUCAAUCUAGUGGGAGCAGAGGUGUUUAAAUAUUUAUGCAGUAUGUUCUCCCCUCACCUUCCCAGCCUUGUAGUACCUAUGGCCCUGCUGAUGUAACAACGUGAUGGUGGAAUGCUUAGGAUAACUCAUGGCUCCUAACAGCCUCCAGCAGCCACAACAUGAGCUGCAGCUAGCUGAAGUUGAAUCUGGAGGCAGUGCACAAACAGUUCAGGCACUACUUAACCUUGCAGGUCCCCAAGAAAUGUAGGCUCCACUCAUCACCAGGAGGCUGCUGGUGAUCAGAGGCAGGGGAGAGGCUGACAGUGAGAACACAACUCGACCUGGGUCCAGCCACUGCAGAGAAGUCAUAUGGCAGUGCCUCAGAUGAAAAACAAACACUGUGCAGGCUGAUUCACCAGGACUCACCAGAUCAUGGUCUGAGAAGUCACCCAUCAGUUUACUUCCCACCAAGUCAUGCAAUCUGCUAACCCCUCUCUUCAGGGGUAUAUUUAAAAAACACUCCUGAAUGAGUAGUUGUCUUGAAGUUUUGCUUUUAAAUUUUGGCAAAUGCUACACAGGAAAUCUAUUUCCACCACAUUGUACUCAGUGGUUUUAUAAAGACUGGUAUGUGUGUUGACAUCAUGUUACCAAAUAAUGAAGACCAACAGUGCAUGAGCACUGAAAUAUUUGACUCAGGCUUGUAGCUGGUACCAGCAAGCACCAGCUUCUUUGCUGUUCAGACAGUUUCACCAGAUUUGCCAGCACUAGUUUCUUUGUGAAAGAGGAUCU
Chiroxiphia lanceolata (lance-tailed manakin) is the source of this 834-nucleotide long non-coding RNA. RefSeq lists it as uncharacterized. Lineage: Eukaryota; Metazoa; Chordata; Aves; Passeriformes; Pipridae. The transcript is spliced from 3 exons. The record is from RefSeq and is a predicted model, not a curated record.